UGUCUCCUCGUCUCCACAGCGACCAGACGUCUGUGAAGCCACUGGAUGGAGGGAGUGCAAUGAGCUGUCUAUUUGCUAAUGAAUAGUACUGCUAUCCUGUGAGUGACCUGUCAGAUGUGACAGGCGAGACGUGAGGGAUUGUUCAAAGACACUAAAAAAAGCAACAACACAAAAGCCUGAGCUUCAAGAGCAUCUCCAGACCACAACAAAACAGCAGCCUGCAAGAGGAGCUGACAGGUCUCCUGAAGACGGCUAUUUCCACAUAGUGUUACUGGCACGAGCGAGGAGAAUGGCAGCCCUCGCAAGUCCACCUGUGAGUGUUUUCUGAAGAGAGGAUAGAAAAUACAAGAGGAGUGGGUGGUCACCGUGCUACUGGGUUUGUGUGGGUGAGCGUGUGUGUGCGUCUCAGUGAGCCAGCUCCCAUGCUUGGUAAAAAUCACCUAAUUUUUCACUUGAGUGGCUCUCUUUGGGCAGCCCCCCCCACCUCCAUCGACCCCUUCAGAGUAAAAUUCCUCUAGUGAGUGUGAAGACUGCACUCGCAGUGCCCCCCCACUCCCCCAGCACACACCGAGGGGCAUUGAAAAUGCAUUAACACCAAAUCAAUGGAAAACAGUGGAAAAAAAAGCAAAAAGAGAGAGGACGAAAAAAAAUCUCCUUAGCAACAUAAUCUAGAUGGCCUCACGAAAGGAGAGGGGAGAGUGAAAAGAAAGGCGAAAAGGGGAAAAGAGAAAGGGGAGGGGGUUGCUGAGCGUUUAGUGCCGAAUAAGAGACUGAACACUGAGAGGUCUUGCACACAGACAGCGACAAAAUGGAGAAUUAACACAAGAGAAACUGUUCCUAUUUAACACCAGGGGAAAAGCGACUAUAUUAACACCCUCCCAUUAGGGGGCAGGGGGGAAGAGUGGAGGCUGGGAGGACAGGAUAGACCCCUAAAAACACUCUCCCAAGGGAACAGAGAAAGUCAGCAAUAAUUGACUGUGGCUGUGUGUGUUUUUUAAUUCUUUUUAUUUGUUUUCUUCCUCAUAAUGUAUAUUUUCUUGUUUACUGCAAUAUGUCUUAUAUGUAAGAAAUUAUUUAUAUUAUUCAAAUUGGCUUAUUACUUUAAAAGUGUUAUGAAUUAUAUUAUAUUAUAUUAUAUUAUGUGACCCUUGACCACAAAACCAAUCUUAAAUCGCACAAGUAUAUUUGUAGCUAUAGCCAACAAUACAUUGUAUGGGUCAAAAUGAUAAAUUUUUCGUUUAUGCCAAAAAUCAUUAGGAUAUUAAGUAAUGAUCAUGUUCCAUGAAGAUAUUUUGUCAAUUUCCUACCAUAAAUAUAUCAAAACUUAAUUUUUUGAUUAGUAAUAUGCAUUGCUAAGGACUUAAUUUGGACAACUCUAAAGGUUAUUUUCUCAAUAUUUUGAUUUUUUUUGCACCCUCAGAUUCCAGAUAUUGAAAAAGUUGUAUCUGGCCCAAAUAUUGUCCAAACCAUACAUCAACGGAAAGCUUAUUUAUUCAGGCUUCAGAUGAUGUAUAAUUCUCAAUUUCCAAAAAUUUACCCUUAUGACUGGUUUUGUGGUCCAGGGUCACAUAUUAUAUGAUAUACAUAAGAAAUAUUUUCAUAUAUAUUUUUGCUUACUUUGGAUCACUUUAAAUGUCAUAAAAUAAUAUAAAGUCUUAAAUAAUAAGUAUAUAGUCUUAAAUAAUAUAUUUAUAUAUUAAUGAUUUUCAGAGCAUAUUAAUGAUGUCAGUGCAUGGUGUGUGUGUAUAUAUGGUUAAUCAUCUAAUUUGUAGUAUAUGUAAUAUAUAUUCUGUUUUCCUGUUUUGUUAUUGUUAUUUCUUCUCAAUUCAGUGUCUACCUUGAGUUAUGAAAGCUUGGUAUUAAACGAGUCAUUCUGGGUACUAGUUAAAUCAGUUAAGUCAGGAAGGACAUUUGAACUCCAUUUCAAAGUUCAGUUCAGCAAAUGUCCAAAUAAAUUUUAUUUAAAAAUCUCUCGAGCCAUGAGACCAGCCACCAUGUCGCUCACUAAUGGACAAGGCAGAGAGCGAAAGACAGAAGGUAGAUCCAUUAUUUUGAUUGGGGACUGAUAAAAAUGCUACACUCUGUGGAAAGAAAAGGAAGGAUGUAUUCCACAAAUGUAGGUAUUCCCAAUUCAAUUAGUUUGGUGGUGGACACUGGUUACCAGUCUCUAUGUAAAUGACCUUUAACCUCUACUACAUGAUCUGGUCAAUGGUGGGAGGGUUAGACUUAAUUAGGAGGUCAUUAAAACCUGCCCCCUGCAAGCCAUUAGCUUUAUAACUGCCCACACACAUACCCACAGCUGACCCACGGCUGUAAUGAGCCAGUUCAGGCAACUUCAUCAAGAAACGUGUUGGAUUCUUUCCGUUUCACGGCAUCUGCACAGAUCAGAAUCAAGGUCUAAUACCAAUAAGUGAAGAUUAAUUUGGUGGUAUUAUUUCACUUCAGUCGCUUGAAUCCUGUUAUUAAAUGGUGAAGUAACAUGCCAUUGAUUGAUGAAGUGGAAUCAUGCGAACUGAAAUGUCGAACUAGAAUCAUAUUUUUAAAAGGGAAAAACACAUAUUUUCCAGCUGAGUGUUUCUGGAGCGUUCGGGCCAUUAUUUUCUAGGCUGCAUUAAAUUACUGUAGCAAAAUGUGUUCCCAUGCUCUCUGCCAAGCUGAGGUAGGAUAAAAUGAAGAAUAAAUUUGCACGUUUAGCAUAAGAAGCUUUAUAAACCUUUAUGUGCAUGUUUAUAGAGAAAAAAAGCUAAAAGUUGGGCAACCAAAUUUGGGGUUAAUGGGAAAAGCAAUGGCGUUCAGGUGAAGAUUUCCUGGCCGAAUGGGAAUCUGGCGCUCGGAGGGCCCAUCUAAAGACUGAAAGAUUAAUAUAAAACAAGGGAGACUGAAUGAGAAGGAGAGAAUAAGUGAGAGCCGACAACUUCAUCUACAGAGGCAUUAACAAAGACAGUACAAAGGCGAAAGGAGAGAAAAAGGGAGAGAGAAAAGGGCCAGAGGUUAGCGAAGACAGAGAGAGAUGGAAAAACAGCGAGAGAGAGACAAGGCGUAAAAGAGGGAGAAAAGAGAGCGACUGAUGUAGAUAAACAGUGAAGAAAAGGAGCGAAAGAGAGAUUAAUAAAGAGGCAGAAGUGGAGAAAAAUAGAAACUGAGGGAGAAAGAAGGGACUCCAGCGACUCUCUUUGUCCCGAUCGCCGAUUUCACACCGACACAAAGGGCUCGGUGGACGUUUCAUCCUUUCAUUAACGUUUCUCUGCCGUUUAUUCAGCGUUAGUCUGUGACGUUAUGAAGUCAGCCCCAUUCAGGCCACAUUAUAAAUCACCUCCGCCGCUGCAGAGCGUGGCCAAUCGGCCAAUUACGCAGUGUGGCCGCCCCUGAACACGCAGGACAAUGGCAUCACAAGGCCAAUAAACAAGCCUCUAAUAGGGCGGCGGGGAAAACGCGCCCAAAACAGGCCCCAACCGCCCGCCGCACGCACGUAUUCCAUCAUCCCCAUGCCCUCGCAUUUCCUCCCGCUAAAGCUAGCGCACACACACAGCUGUGGAGGGAGCGAGGCAGGGGCAGAAGGGUAGCACUGGCACACCGAGAGAAAAAUGACCCAGCGCCAGUGCGCCAUGCAAACCCCCCCAUGGCCCUUUUCAGGCUGGGAGCCAGAACAAAAGCAUACUGUUGCCAUACUGUGACGUUCAUGCUAGCCAGUUAGCACAGCUGCAAGAGCUCACCUUGCGCUAGCGACUAUUGUUGGCCUGUUUUAGAGCCUCUUCCAUCCAUCUUCUGGACUGGAGGAGACAAAUACAGACAGAGAGAGAGAGAGAGCUCGGCUGAGAGAAAGUGGUCGGGUGAUGCAGCUGCAGCGGGAAUGAAUACGAGCGUAAGGUGAAAAGGGGAAGACUGGAGAGACGGAGAGAGAGGUGUCAAUGUAACAGACCACAGGGUGGUCCCACCCACUCACUUACAGAGCAGCUGCAGUUAAACAGUAACUAGAGAGAUCAACUGGUUGGCGAUAUUUUGAACUUUUUGAACUUUAGAACAAUUUUUUUUUUUUUUAAACUGUUGGAUUAAAAGGAAUGUUCCAGGUUCAAAACAAAGUUUUUUUUUUUUGCAUUUUGUUACCACACACAAAAAUCACUUGUCACUAGUUUUCUUUAGAGGAAAACAAAAAUAGAGGUUACGGUGAGGUGCUUACAAUAUAUAUAUAUGGUCACACUUUAUUUUAAGGUUCAAUUCCCUUUAUUAACAAACCAUUAACUACCAUUAACUAAUAACUAAUAAACUCCUAAUUUGCUGAUUAUUAAUAGUUUGUGAGAUAGUUGUUAAGUUUAGGUAUUGGGUAGGGUUAGGGAUGUAGAAUAUGGUCAUGCAGAAUAUGCACUUUAUAAGUAUUAAUAAACAGCCAGUAUGUUCAUAAUAGGCAUGAUAAUACACUAUUAGUCAAUAGUGAGAAUUGGUCCCUGUGCUAUAUAUCACAGUGUCACUAUAUAUUGUUUUAAAAAUCUUAUUUUGAAAGUGAUUCCAACAAUAUCGUUCCUCUGUGUCAUUACAUUUAUAAUUGUGGCAUGAACUCCACUAUUCUCACUAAAUUAGAUUAUUCAAAUUUCAUAGUUAUACUUAUUGUUAUAGUCAUUGUUCUUGGUGUGAACAGGUCUGAAAUGUUUGUAUUAUUUGAGCUGUAUAGUUGUCAUUUAUACAGUUAUUUUAAGGUUUAAGGUGUUCUGUUGUCAUUGUCAAAAAAACAUUACACAGAAAAGGUUAGCAAGUGAUUUUUUCACACCGCAUUAUUUACAUCUUGUGGCUUUACUAUUGAACAGUAAGUAUGGUCACACUUUAUUAUAAAGUCCAAUUCUCGCCAUUAACAACCCAUUAACAACGACUUUUGUUUCAAUAAACUCCCAAUUUGUUGCUUAUAAAUAGUUUGUAAGGUAGUUGUUACGUUUAGGUAUUAGGGAUGUAGAAUAUGGUCUUGCAGAAUAUGUGCUUUAUAAGUACUAAUAAACAGCCAAUAUGUUAAUAAUAGGCAUGCUAAUAAGCAACUAGUUAUUAGUGAGAAUUGGUCCCUACACUAAAAUGUUACCGUAAGUAUUUUAAAGUUUCACUGAAAAUGCCUCACUAUAACCCAGUUUUUAAAGAAAAGGAGGGACACACAGAUAAUACUUGCAUCAUUUUUUGUGGUAAUCAACAGUACGGCACAAAUGCUGUCACUAAAGCUUAGCUUCUACUGAACCUUGAAAUGAAAGCGCAGGGGUGCCCGCCGUCGGCCCAGCUGCAAGUGUCGAAAUCAGAGACAAAGGUCAUCUGCACUACACGCUAUCCUCAUGAACCCUCCCCGUGUACCAACAACGCUUGCAGAAAAAAACCCACCGUCACGAAUCAGCAGUGCCCCGUCCUCUUACACCCAUACAGACUUCAUCAACGGCCCACGUACCUCCGUGAAUGCUCCCUCUCUAGAUGCUCUCGCUGAAGUGUCUGCAGCUGCUAAGAGAAUGUUAGUGUCAUCCAUUGGUUGAGUGAGUCUAAUAGCACUUGGUACUAUGACACUAAAUACCCCUCGCACAAUUCUACCUUACUCAUUAAAAAGACCCAAGGCACGUUACUGACCCACUAAAUAUCUCUGCCACAAUGCCACUUGCACACGAAAUUUCCACGAUACAAAAACACUCGUGCACGAAAUCUUUCCAAUGCAUUUCUAAAAUGCCCACUCGAAUAAAUCACCCUGUAGGCAAUACCAGCUAAACAAUACAACUUCACGUUCUUAGAUCUCUAGGUUCCAGCCAUCCAUUGUGUCUGUACAAAAAUUUAACUUGUUUAUUUUUUUUAUUUGUAUUUUUUUUAAAUAAAGCCAUUUUUAAAGUAUAGUUUGCAUGUGUUUGGAUAUAUCCAACAAAUUUAUAAAUGGCUUUAAGAAAAGUCAUUAAGAUAAAAACAGAGGUGCACCAAUAUUAUAAUAUUUUGCUAAAACCAACUAAUGAGCCAGAUAAUUAUUUUCUUGCCAUAACCGAUAACCAGUAAAUCACCAAUAUUGCCAAAAUUAAAAAUACAGCUUUUCUGUAUUUUUUAUCUUUCUUUUGCAUAUUUUUAUAUGCAAUUCAUUUUUUUUCUUUAAAAAAUCUUUGCUAUACUCUAUUUAUUAUUAUUAUUAUUACUGUUGUUAUUAUUAUUAUUAUUAUUAUUUAAUUUUCAGGCAAUGUAUAAUUCUUUGAUGUCUAAACGUAUGCUGUUGUUGUACAUAUAACUUAAGAAUAAACAAUAAAAAUGAAAAAAAUAAAAAUAAAUAAAUGAAUUGAAAAACUUCAAAUCAAUCCUUUUAAAUGCUACCAGUGAACAUGUGCAUUAACAUUAUAUUGUACGGUAUCAAAAUGGAUUUUCAUUGUGAGAUUUUCUAAAAAUUACAUUUAACAGUGUUAUUAAAUAAUUGGAGGGAGUUUUUAAAGAUUAACUUUGAGUGAUUAUUAUGACAGCAUGUAAAAAUAAUCUACUUGUAAAAACAGUGCAAAUGAACAGCACAAUUAAAUAUCCUGUAUUAAAUAUACACAUAAAAAAAGAACAUACAUAAUAUAUCGUGCAUCCCUAAACAAAACUGUAACAAUCAUUGUCAGAUCAUUUGCUGAUUGUAAAUGUGGCAUUUUGGACACAAUCACGUAGCGACAUUUCCCAACUCUUCCGUUUUGCUCUCUCUCUGUCUUUGUCUUUUUGUAUCUGUCUCUCUAACCCAUGUCCCAUUUACAAACACAUUUCAGCGGGGCAACUUGAUUACCAUUCAGGUGGACGUCUGGCUGCAGCGUGUACUUGUUGGAAGAGCUCUUUGGAGUUGCUUAGAGAAGUGUGUGUGUGUGGUUGGAGGGGGUGGUGGUGCUGAGGGAUCGAUUUGAUUCUAAUCGGACCAUGAAAAGAACAUGAUCUAACUGCUUUCAGCUGGGAGUACAUUUGGGCCCUCUCCACUAUUUGCUCUCCCUCUCUACUCCCCUUUUCCUUUCUUUGACGAGCUCUCUCGCUCUGUCUCUCGCUCUUUGACACACAAUGUCUCUGGCCGAUUCAAAAAGCCUUGAAUGUCUCAUUAAUGACUUUGUGAAUACUGGGGUAGAGAGAUUUGAGGAUGGACGUGGGGUGGGAGGGAGAAAAAACAGGGGUGGAAAGAAAAGGGUGGAGAAAGCGUAAAAAAUUCCAGGGUUGUUUAAAAGACUGGCUAAGAUCUUUGCCAUGGAUUAUCAUGACAGCGUUUUAGAGGCUCAGUGGGGUUGACCCCUUUGAAUGCCUGUGUAUUUGGCCGGAUAGACACUCGCUCACUGACACUGACUGAAAGUUUGUCUUCUUUCUGCAUUCUCCUCCAGCGUCCCGUCUCAGCUUUUGCAGUCUUUUCUGUGUCUGUCUCUCAAAUUUUAUAUCCCCAUUCCCAUCUUCCAUUGUCACUCUCUCUUUCUCUCUCUGCCUCCCAUAGUUCACUCCCGUCCUUCCAUCCACUUGUCAUUGGGUGAAAAAUAUCUCCUCACUCUGUGAUUCUCUCUCAGGAUAAAUCUGUUAAUGUUCCCUCUGCUUUUCAGCCGCUCCUGUCAUCAGGAUAGUUAACACAACACUGAGGGCCAGAAGUCAGAUGCCAAAGGUCAAAGGUCAAGGUGGUCCUGAGGCUCUCUUUUUCUGAAUUUCUAUUUUAUUUGACUUUUUUCUGUGAAUACUUCACACAUGGUAAUAGUAGAGACAAACGGUAAGAAGUAAAUUAUUUUUCGUGCCCCAACUCAAAGCAGAUAUGCUAUUCAAUAGACAUGCUUAUAAUACAUUACAGAAAUAAAUAGCAAGUGUUAAGGAUAGAUAAAUAGAAACAUUUUAUUAUUAUUAUUAUUAUUAUUAUUUAGUGCUGUCAAAUCAGUUAA
Onychostoma macrolepis is the source of this 7853-nucleotide RNA transcript. It is a transcript of the gene named GS homeobox 2, with no coding region annotated. The transcript is spliced from 3 exons. The record is from RefSeq and is a predicted model, not a curated record. Lineage: Eukaryota; Metazoa; Chordata; Actinopteri; Cypriniformes; Cyprinidae.